Molecule: ribosomal RNA, 505 nt
Filed under: uncultured bacterium
Lineage: Bacteria
Description: partial 16S ribosomal RNA
Rfam family: Bacterial small subunit ribosomal RNA
Source: RNAcentral
GACGAACGCUGGCGGCGUGCCUAAUACAUGCAAGUAGAACGCACAGUUUAUACCGUAGCUUGCUACACCAUAAACUGUGAGUUGCGAACGGGUGAGUAACGCGUAGGUAACCUGCCUGGUAGCGGGGGAUAACUAUUGGAAACGAUAGCUAAUACCGCAUAAUAUUAAUUAUUGCAUGAUAAUUGAUUGAAAGAUGCAAUUGCAUCACUACCAGAUGGACCUGCGUUGUAUUAGCUAGUAGGUGAGGUAACGGCUCACCUAGGCGACGAUACAUAGCCGACCUGGGAGGGUGAUCGGCCACACUGGGACUGAGACACGGCCCAGACUCCUACGGGAGGCAGCAGUAGGGAAUCUUCGGCAAUGGACGAAAGUCUGACCGAGCAACGCCGCGUGAGUGAAGAAGGUUUUCGGAUCGUAAAGCUCUGUUGUAAGAGAAGAACGGGUGUGGGAGUGGAAAGUUCACACUGUGACGGUAUCUUACCAGAAAGGGACGGCUAACUACGUG